UUGAACGCUGGCGGCAGGCCUAACACAUGCAAGUCGCGCGGAUGAAGGGAGCUUGCUCCUGGAUUCAGCGGCGGACGGGUGAGUAAUGCCUAGGAAUCUGCCUGGUAGUGGGGGAUAACGUCCGGAAACGGGCGCUAAUACCGCAUACGUCCUGAGGGAGAAAGUGGGGGAUCUUCGGACCUCACGCUAUCAGAUGAGCCUAGGUCGGAUUAGCUAGUUGGUGGGGUAAAGGCCUACCAAGGCGACGAUCCGUAACUGGUCUGAGAGGAUGAUCAGUCACACUGGAACUGAGACACGGUCCAGACUCCUACGGGAGGCAGCAGUGGGGAAUAUUGGACAAUGGGCGAAAGCCUGAUCCAGCCAUGCUGCGUGUGUGAAGAAGGUCUUCGGAUUGUAAAGCACUUUAAGUUGGGAGGAAGGGCAGUAAGUUAAUACCUUGCUGUUUUGACGUUACCAACAGAAUAAGCACCGGCUAACUUCGUG
This 483-nucleotide ribosomal RNA is filed under the name uncultured bacterium. RNAcentral describes it as "partial 16S ribosomal RNA". It matches the Rfam family "Bacterial small subunit ribosomal RNA", at positions 30 to 507 of the family's 1533-position model. The record is from RNAcentral.